UACAGAGGGGGCAAGCGUUGUUCGGAAUUACUGGGCGUAAAGGGCGCGUAGGCGGCCUUCUAAGUCAUGCGUGAAAUCCCCGGGCUCAACCCGGGAACUGCGUUUGAUACUGGAAGGCUUGAAUCCGGGAGAGGGAUGUGGAAUUCCAGGUGUAGCGGUGAAAUGCGUAGAUAUCUGGAGGAACACCGGUGGCGAAGGCGGCAUCCUGGACCGGUAUUGACGCUGAGGCGCGAAAGCCAGGGGAGCAAACGGG
RNAcentral lists this ribosomal RNA (253 nucleotides) under uncultured bacterium. RNAcentral describes it as "partial 16S ribosomal RNA". It matches the Rfam family "Bacterial small subunit ribosomal RNA", at positions 524 to 776 of the family's 1533-position model. The record is from RNAcentral.